GGCUGCUUCCUACUCCCAUGUUAAGAAGCAUAAUCUAGAAAGAUCUGCAGAGCCUUCUUCAAACAGAAGUGUUAGUCACAGAUGCCGUGCGCGAAAUUCGGAAGUAUGAUGAUGUGACGGAAAAGGUGAACCUCCAGAACAAUCCCGGGGCCAUGGAGCACUUCCACAUGAAGCUUUUCCGUGCCCAGAGGAAUCUCUACAUUG
RNAcentral lists this long non-coding RNA (204 nucleotides) under Homo sapiens (human). RNAcentral's name for it is "HSALNT0287596". The record is from RNAcentral. Lineage: Eukaryota; Metazoa; Chordata; Mammalia; Primates; Hominidae.